Molecule: non-coding RNA, 98 nt
Organism: Aspergillus fischeri NRRL 181
Lineage: Eukaryota; Fungi; Ascomycota; Eurotiomycetes; Eurotiales; Aspergillaceae
Source: the annotation of a RefSeq genome assembly
AGUCACGUGGUCUAAUGGUUAUGAUUUCUCGUUCACAAUCAAAGUGAGCUUCUUCAAGGAUACCGAGAAGGUUCCCGGUUCGAUCCCGGGCGUGACUA